GCAUUAGUAGCUCAAUGCCAGAGCGUCGGUCUUGUAAAUCGGCGGCCGGAGGUUUGAAUCCUCCCUAUUGCU
This 72-nucleotide transfer RNA is filed under the name Lates calcarifer (barramundi perch). RNAcentral describes it as "tRNA-Thr". It matches the Rfam family "tRNA". Rfam says of the family: Transfer RNA (tRNA) molecules are approximately 80 nucleotides in length. Their secondary structure includes four short double-helical elements and three loops (D, anti-codon, and T loops). Lineage: Eukaryota; Metazoa; Chordata; Actinopteri; Centropomidae. The record is from RNAcentral.